Molecule: ribosomal RNA, 446 nt
Filed under: uncultured bacterium
Lineage: Bacteria
Description: partial 16S ribosomal RNA
Rfam family: Bacterial small subunit ribosomal RNA
Source: RNAcentral
GGCCAGACUCCUACGGGAGGCAGCAGUGGGGAAUAUUGCACAAUGGGGGAAACCCUGAUGCAGCGACGCCGCGUGAGCGAUGAAGUAUUUCGGUAUGUAAAGCUCUAUCAGCAGGGAAGAAAAUGACGGUACCUGACUAAGAAGCCCCGGCUAACUACGUGCCAGCAGCCGCGGUAAUACGUAGGGGGCAAGCGUUAUCCGGAUUUACUGGGUGUAAAGGGGGCGCAGACGGCGAUGCAAGCCAGGAGUGAAAGCCCGGGGCCCAACCCCGGGACUGCUCUUGGAACUGCGUGGCUGGAGUGCAGGAGGGGCAGGCGGAAUUCCUGGUGUAGCGGUGAAAUGCGUAGAUAUCAGGAGGAACACCGGUGGCGAAGGCGGCCUGCUGGACUGUGACUGACGUUGAGGCUCGAAAGCGUGGGGAGCAAACAGGAUUAGAUACCCCAGUA